UUUCCUCACCUGAAGCUUCUUUCUCUGUGAUAACUCCAGCUUAUGUGAAGUUGACACAAAACCAGCCAGUACAGCAUGUGGAGGUAAGAGGUUGGUGUCCAGAGUCUUCCUCAGUCCCUCUCCACCUUAUAUUUUGAGACAGAGUCUCUCCUGAACCUACACCUCACUGAUUCAGCUAGACUGGCUAGCCACUGAGCUCCAGGCAUCCUCCUGUCUGUCCCCAGAGCUGGGGUUAGCAAUGUCCUUGUGCUCCCAGCUUUUUCACAGCUGGGGAUCUGAGCUCAGGUCCUCCUGCUUCUGUGGCAAGCACUUUGCUCAGUGAGCCCUUUCCCCAAGCAACAAUGUGUACAUGAAAUUCACACAGACUUUCUCAGCAUCACAUUGUGACUGUCAUCACUAGGGUUUGGUGACAGUUUGCCACAAGGGUUGAGAGCACAGAUGGUGGACCUGAGCUCACUCUGUAUGUACUCAUUGCCUGAGCUAAGAACUCAAAACCUGUCAGCUCUCAGGUAGGGAUUUGGCCACGUGUCCAUGCUUACCCACUCCAUUUCAUUUCUUUCCCCCACUUUCAGUGCUGGAGAUUGAACCCAGGGCACCCUAAAUGUCUGACAAAUCCUUUACCAUUAAACUAAACUAUACCCUUCCUCACCUACAUCCGAUUUUCUUAGUAGGACUAGAAAAAAGGAAAUAUACCCAUUUUAGUUGAAGAAACAGGUGUGUAUAGGAAAAGUCCUGUUCACCCAAAUAUAGUUCGUGUCUCACUCAGUGCUGGCUAGAUAAGUGUCUGAAGGUCCGUGGUUGAAGGCUGGGUUCCCCAGGCUGGCAUUAUUGGGAUGUGGCAGAAGCUGUAAGAGAUACAUCUUAUGGGAUGUCUUUGGGUCAGAGUUCCUUGAAAGGGACUGUGGGAUUCUGGACCCUUUGCUCUUUGUUCUUUCCCAGCCCUGAGGUGAGCUGCUGCCAUGACCACACGCUCUUAUUAUAAAGUGCUGCCUUGCCACAGGUCCAAAAGCCAUGGAGCCAACUGGUCAUGAACGGAAAUCUUCAAAACUGUGAGACAGAGUACACGUUUCCUCUGUCUAAGUUGAUUAUCUAAGUUCGGGUGAUUGUGCCUUUGUGCCUGCCAGGCGAACACUCAGCCCCUGAGCUACAUCCUAGCAUACUCCAGCUGUUGAACGCUGAUCUUUCCCCAGGCUUUAGCUAAGUGGUACAGUCUCUGUGAUGCUGUGGGUGGCAGUGAAUCCUAGCUCCCAGUCAGUGACUGUGAUAAAGAAGGUGAACAACUGACUCUAUGGUGUGCUUUGCUGGUAAACUAUGCUGUUCAGCAGGUUGGGUGAAUUAAACAUUUUGCUUGCUUGCUUUUUGAGAUAAUCUUCACUCUGUAGCCCACCCUAACCUUGAGCCCAGGAAUGCAAUCUUACUGCCUCAGCAUCCCAAGUUCUGGGAUUACUGUGUGAGCCAGCACUCCCCCUCUCCUGUGUUAUUUUCUAGAGGUGCUGGAAAGCAAACUGAGGGUUCUGCACAUGCCAGGCUGUGCCCUUCCACUGAGCCACAUCCCAACCUUUUGUUAUUAUUAUUUAUCAUCCUAAAACAGGAUCUUGCUGUUACUCAGGGUGGCAUCUAACCUGGAGUCCCCUCUCUCAUGCCCAGAUGUUUCUCUUAAUGCAUUUUAAUGCCAAAGCUCAAUUGCAGUAAUUGUAGAGUAACGGGUUUCAUCGAGAUGUCCCACACGUGCCUAUGCUUUACUUCAGUUUUACCCUUCUCUCUCUCCCACUCUACUCCCUCACUCAAGGUCGCUUCCCCUCCCCUCAUGGUACAAUGUCAUCUUGAAUGCAUUUGAGGGACGUAGCCCCACUGUAAAUGACACAGACACAUUCCUGUUUAGAUUUGAGUACCUAAGCAACCGAGGUUUUUCCUGAUGGAAUUUACACUGUGACUGUACUGCAGGGCACAGAAGCACAUGCAUCUAAUAACAUGAAUUCAGUAGAGAAUCUCUUAUGAAAUGGGUUUGUACAUUUCAGUUUUUUUCCCCUGAAAUCAGAUCUUACACUGUAGGUCUGGGUGUCUGAGAACUCACACAAUAGCUCAAAUUGGCUCCAAUCCCCUGUUUCUGUCUUCCUGAUUGCUGGACUUAUAGGCAUGUGUCACUAUAUCCAGAUUUAUAUAUUUAAAUUGUUUAUAGAGCGCACCAAAGUGUCCUCCCAAAACUUAGUCAUCUCUUCACAGAGAAGAAUGCCCAUUCCUAUCUCUACCAAUACUGGUCACUUUACUUGCCAGCGGCAUCAGCUAACAUUUUGUUUUUAAAGCCUGUUUUUUCUGAUUGUUUGUAAAAUAUACUUCCAUUUUCCUA
Long non-coding RNA from Mus musculus (house mouse), 2347 nucleotides. RefSeq annotates it as predicted gene, 39059. The transcript has 2 exons. The record is from RefSeq and is a predicted model, not a curated record. NCBI's taxonomy places the organism in Eukaryota, Metazoa, Chordata, Mammalia, Rodentia, Muridae.